RNAcentral lists this ribosomal RNA (301 nucleotides) under uncultured bacterium. RNAcentral's name for it is "partial 16S ribosomal RNA". It matches the Rfam family "Bacterial small subunit ribosomal RNA", at positions 509 to 808 of the family's 1533-position model. The record is from RNAcentral.
CAGCGCCACGGUAAUACGAGGGGGGCAAGCGUUGUUCGGAAUUAUUGGGCGUAAAGGGUGCGUAGGCGGUUUCGUAAGUCUGAUGUGAAAUCUAUGGGCUCAACCCAUAGUCUGCAUCGGAAACUGCGAGGCUUGAGAGUGGGAGAGGUGAGUGGAAUUUCCGGUGUAGCGGUGAAAUGCGUAGAUAUCGGAAGGAACACCUGUGGCGAAAGCGGCUCACUGGACCAUUUCUGACGCUGAUGCACGAAAGCUAGGGGAGCAAACAGGAUUAGAUACCCCAGUAGUCCCUGUCUCUUAUACC